UGUUGUAUGUCCAAUACUCAGUGUUCAGC
This 29-nucleotide non-coding RNA is filed under the name Rattus norvegicus (Norway rat). Lineage: Eukaryota; Metazoa; Chordata; Mammalia; Rodentia; Muridae. The record is from RNAcentral.